CUGUUGAUAGCUCAGCUGGUAGAGUGGAGGACUGUAGACAUAACUUCAUGGCUAUCUUUAGGUCACUGGUUCGAUUCCGGCUUAAAGGA
RNAcentral lists this transfer RNA (89 nucleotides) under Tupaia belangeri chinensis (Chinese tree shrew). Its description in RNAcentral is "Tupaia chinensis (Chinese tree shrew) tRNA". It matches the Rfam family "tRNA". Rfam says of the family: Transfer RNA (tRNA) molecules are approximately 80 nucleotides in length. Their secondary structure includes four short double-helical elements and three loops (D, anti-codon, and T loops). Lineage: Eukaryota; Metazoa; Chordata; Mammalia; Scandentia; Tupaiidae. The record is from Rfam by way of RNAcentral.